RNAcentral lists this ribosomal RNA (588 nucleotides) under Triticum aestivum (bread wheat). RNAcentral describes it as "partial small subunit ribosomal RNA". Lineage: Eukaryota; Viridiplantae; Streptophyta; Magnoliopsida; Poales; Poaceae. The record is from RNAcentral.
AUGAGCGGCGGCGGCCGGAAGCCGGUGGGCGACGAUGCGGAGGUGGAAGCGCUGCUCCGGGCGGCGCAGGACGCCGUGCUCCUAAAGCUCCAGGCCAACUCCCACCUCGUCUCGUCGUCGUUCUCCGCCGCUUCGAACCCUCUUGCACUGGACGAGGGGCCCGGUCCACUGGACGACGACCUCGCCCGCCGCCUCGACGCGCUCAGGUCCCGCCCGCCGGCGCCGAAGCGGCCAGGUGCUGCCCCCGCCCCUACAGCCGGCGGGAUGGACGAGAUGGAGGCACGGUUCGCGGCGCUGAAAGGCGCGGCGGUUUGCCCUGAGAAGGAGACGAGGGUGCGGCUGGAGGAUCUGGGAGGGGAAUCGGACGAGGAGGACGAGGUGGAGAAGGUGAUGCGGUGGGCGAUGGACGCCGCGCGGCUCGACGUCGCCACUGCCGGCAGUGGUGCCAGCAACGCCGAGGAGAAGGAAGAGGGAGACAAGAGCAGCACGAGUAGCGAGGACGAGGAAGAGAGACUGGAACUGGAGGAGAAGAGGAAGGAGAUGAUGAGCAAGAAGAACAAGGCUAAGAGCAGGUGGUUCUUCUUUUGA